GCCAGGGGUCUGCUACCAUGCAGUCGAGCGGUAGCACAGAGAGCUUGCUCUCGGGUGACGAGCGGCGGACGGGUGAGUAAUGUCUGGGAAACUGCCUGAUGGAGGGGGAUAACUACUGGAAACGGUAGCUAAUACCGCAUAACGUCGCAAGACCAAAGUGGGGGACCUUCGGGCCUCAUGCCAUCAGAUGUGCCCAGAUGGGAUUAGCUAGUAGGUGGGGUAACGGCUCACCUAGGCGACGAUCCCUAGCUGGUCUGAGAGGAUGACCAGCCACACUGGAACUGAGACACGGUCCAGACUCCUACGGGAGGCAGCAGUGGGGAAUAUUGCACAAUGGGCGCAAGCCUGAUGCAGCCAUGCCGCGUGUAUGAAGAAGGCCUUCGGGUUGUAAAGUACUUUCAGCGGGGAGGAAGGCGAUAAGGUUAAUAACCUUGUCGAUUGACGUUACCCGCAGAAGAAGCACCGGCUAACUCCGUGCCAGCAGCCGCGGUAAUACGGAGGGUGCAAGCGUUAAUCGGAAUUACUGGGCGUAAAGCGCACGCAGGCGGUCUGUCAAGUCGGAUGUGAAAUCCCCGGGCUCAACCUGGGAACUGCAUUCGAAACUGGCAGGCUAGAGUCUUGUAGAGGGGGGUAGAAUUCCAGGUGUAGCGGUGAAAUGCGUAGAGAUCUGGAGGAAUACCGGUGGCGAAGGCGGCCCCCUGGACAAAGACUGACGCUCAGGUGCGAAAGCGUGGGGAGCAAACAGGAUUAGAUACCCUGGUAGUCCACGCCGUAAACGAUGUCGAUUUGGAGGUUGUGCCCUUGAGGCGUGGCUUCCGGAGCUAACGCGUUAAAUCGACCGCCUGGGGAGUACGGCCGCAAGGUUAAAACUCAAAUGAAUUGACGGGGGCCCGCACAAGCGGUGGAGCAUGUGGUUUAAUUCGAUGCAACGCGAAGAACCUUACCUGGUCUUGACAUCCACAGAACUUGCCAGAGAUGCCUUGGUGCCUUCGGAACUGUGAGACAGUGCUGCAUGGCUGUCGUCAGCUCGUGUUGUGAAAUGUUGGGUUAAGUCCCGCACGAGCGCACCCUAUCUUUGUGCAGCGGUAGCGGGACUCAAAGAGACUGCAGUGAUAACUGAGAAGGUGGGGAUGACGUCCAGUCAUCAUGCCCUACGACAGGCUACACACGGUGCUACAAUGGGCCUUAUC
This 1190-nucleotide ribosomal RNA is filed under the name Klebsiella pneumoniae. RNAcentral describes it as "bacterial SSU rRNA". It matches the Rfam family "Bacterial small subunit ribosomal RNA", at positions 35 to 1241 of the family's 1533-position model. Lineage: Bacteria; Pseudomonadati; Pseudomonadota; Gammaproteobacteria; Enterobacterales; Enterobacteriaceae. The record is from RNAcentral.